GGAUUAGUGCAGUGGUUUGAGUGUUAGACUAUGACUCUGGAGACAUGGGUUCAAAUCCCUGCUUGGCUA
Phrynosoma platyrhinos (Desert horned lizard) is the source of this 69-nucleotide non-coding RNA. Lineage: Eukaryota; Metazoa; Chordata; Lepidosauria; Squamata; Phrynosomatidae. The record is from the annotation of a GenBank genome assembly.